UCCCUGAUGGCUCAGUGGUAAAGAAUCUGCCUGUAAUGUAGGAGACACAGGUUCAAUUCCUGGGUCGGGAA
This 71-nucleotide transfer RNA is filed under the name Bos taurus (domestic cattle). It matches the Rfam family "tRNA". From Rfam's summary of the family: Transfer RNA (tRNA) molecules are approximately 80 nucleotides in length. Their secondary structure includes four short double-helical elements and three loops (D, anti-codon, and T loops). The record is from Rfam by way of RNAcentral. RNAcentral also lists the same sequence under 4 other names. Lineage: Eukaryota; Metazoa; Chordata; Mammalia; Artiodactyla; Bovidae.